This 253-nucleotide ribosomal RNA is filed under the name uncultured bacterium. Its description in RNAcentral is "partial 16S ribosomal RNA". It matches the Rfam family "Bacterial small subunit ribosomal RNA", at positions 524 to 776 of the family's 1533-position model. The record is from RNAcentral.
UACGUAGGGUGCAAGCGUUGUCCGGAAUUAUUGGGCGUAAAGAGCUCGUAGGCGGUCUGUCGCGUCGGCUGUGAAAACCCGGAGCUCAACUCCGGGCCUGCAGUCGAUACGGGCAGACUGGAGUUCGGCAGGGGAGACUGGAAUUCCUGGUGUAGCGGUGAAAUGCGUAGAUAUCGGGAGGAACACCGAUGGCGAAGGCAGCUCGCUGGGACGUGACUGACGCUGAGGAGCGAAAGCGAGGGGAGCAAACAGG